Molecule: ribosomal RNA, 497 nt
Filed under: uncultured bacterium
Lineage: Bacteria
Description: partial 16S ribosomal RNA
Rfam family: Bacterial small subunit ribosomal RNA
Source: RNAcentral
GAUGAACGCUGGCGGCGUGCCUAAUACAUGCAAGUCGAGCGAACAGACGAGGAGCUUGCUCCUCUGACGUUAGCGGCGGACGGGUGAGUAACACGUGGAUAACCUACCUAUAAGACUGGGAUAACUUCGGGAAACCGGAGCUAAUACCGGAUAAUAUAUUGAACCGCAUGGGUCAAUAGUGAAAGACGGUGUUGCUGUCACUUAUAGAUGGAUCCGCGCCGCAUUAGCUAGUUGGUAAGGUAACGGCUUACCAAGGCGACGAUGCGUAGCCGACCUGAGAGGGUGAUCGGCCACACUGGAGCUGGGACACGGUCCAGGCUCCUACGGGAGGCAGCAGUAGGGAAUGUUCCGCAAUGGGCGAAAGCCUGACGGAGCAACGCCGCGCGAGUGAUGAAGGUCUUCGGAUCGUAAAACUCUGUUAUUAGUGAAGAACAAAUGUGUAAGUAACUAUGCACGUCUUGACGGUACCUAAUCAGAAAGCCCCGGCUAACUACGUG